AGAGUUUGAUCCUGGCUCAGAACGAACGCUGGCGGCAGGCCUAACACAUGCAAGUCGAGCGAGAAAGCCUUCGGGUGAGUACAGCGGCGGACGGGUGAGGAACACGUGGGAACGUACCCUUUAGUUCGGAAUAGCCUCGGGAAACUGGGAUUAAUACCGAAUACGCCCUUCGGAUCAAAGAUUUAUCGCCAGAAGAUCAGCCCGCGCAUGAUUAGUUUGUUGGUGAGGUAAUGGCUCACCAAGACUACGAUCAUUAGCUGGUCUGAGAGGACGAUCAGCCACACUGGAACUGAGACACGGUCCAGACUCCUACGGGAGGCAGCAGUGAGGAAUAUUGCACAAUGGGGGAAACCCUGAUGCAGCCAUGCCGCGUGAGUGAAGAAGGCCUUAGGGUUGUAAAGCUCUUUCAAUAGUGAAGAUAAUGACGGUAGCUAUAGAAGAAGCUCCGGCUAAAUUCGUGCCAGCAGCCGCGGUAAUACGAAUGGAGCAAGCGUUGUUCGGAAUCACUGGGCUUAAAGCGUGCGCAGGCGGAAAAGAAAGUCAGAUGUGAAAUCCCAGGGCUCAACCCUGGAACUGCAUUUGAAACUUCUUUUCUAGAAUCCGGUAGAGGUCAAGAGAAUUCCUAGUGUAGAGGUGAAUCCGUAGAGAUUUGGAGGAACACCAGCGGCGAAGGCGGCUAUCUGGACGAGUACUGACGCUGAGGUGCGAAAGCGUGGGGAGCAAACAGGAUUAGAUACCCUGGUAGUCCACGCCGUAAACGAUGAGUGCUAGUUGUUGGAGUCUUUAGGCUUUGGUGACGCAGUUAACGCAUUAAGCACUCCGCCUGGGAAGUACGGUCGCAAGAUUAAAACUCAAAGGAAUUGACGGGGACCCGCACAAGCGGUGGAGCAUGUGGUUUAAUUCGAGGCAACGCGAAGAACCUUACCAGCUCUUGCAUCCCGAUCGCGGUUAGUAGAGAUACUUUCCUUCAGCUUGGCUGGAUCGGUGACAGGUGGUGCACGGCUGUCGUCAGCUCGUGUCGUGAGAUGUUGGGUUAAGUCCCGCAACGAGCGCAACCCUCAUCCUUAGUUGCUAACAUUUAGUUGAGAACUCUAAGGAAACUGCCGGUGACAAGCCGGAGGAAGGCGGGGAUGACGUCAAGUCCUCAUGGCCCUUAUGGGCUGGGCUACACACGUGCUACAAUGGCGGCGAAAAUGGGUUAAUCCCCAAAAGCCGUCUCAGUUCGGAUUGUCGGCUGCAACUCGCCGGCAUGAAGUUGGAAUCGCUAGUAAUCGUGGAUCAGCAUGCCACGGUGAAUACGUUCCCGGGCCUUGUACACACCGUCCGUCACACCAUGGGAGUUGGAUUUACCUGAAGCCGGUGCGCUAACCUUCGGGAGGCAGCCGUUAGGAGCAGCGACUGGGGUGAAGUCGUAACAAGGUAGCCGUAGGGGAACCUGCGGCUGGAUCACCUCCUU
This 1456-nucleotide ribosomal RNA is filed under the name uncultured prokaryote. RNAcentral describes it as "partial 16S ribosomal RNA". It matches the Rfam family "Bacterial small subunit ribosomal RNA". The record is from RNAcentral.